UUUUUGAAAGAAAAAUUGAAAACAAGGGGUUAAAUCGUAAAAAAAAAAAAUUUGGUCACGUGGGACAAUCCAUUCAACAACCCGAGUUGUAACGGCCCCGAAAUUUAAAAUGAAAUAUGUGUAUUAAAAAGGUCAAAUGCGGAAGUGUAAUAAAAAUUUUGAUUAAUAUUCCUUACACUAAAACCAAAAACGUGCUCAA
This 199-nucleotide long non-coding RNA is filed under the name Carica papaya (papaya). RNAcentral describes it as "long non-coding RNA (CPAP_LNC008419)". Lineage: Eukaryota; Viridiplantae; Streptophyta; Magnoliopsida; Brassicales; Caricaceae. The record is from RNAcentral.